RNAcentral lists this ribosomal RNA (548 nucleotides) under uncultured bacterium. RNAcentral's name for it is "bacterial SSU rRNA". It matches the Rfam family "Bacterial small subunit ribosomal RNA", at positions 66 to 631 of the family's 1533-position model. The record is from RNAcentral.
GGGCAGCAUUGUAGCAAUACAGAUGAUGGCGACCGGCGCACGGGUGAGUAACGCGUAUGCACUUACCUAUCGAGGGGGAUAGCCCGGCGAAAGUCGGAUUAAUACCCCAUAAACCCGCAUGGGUAAAGAUUCAUCGCUGUAGAUAGGCAUGCGUUCCAUUAGGCAGUUGGCGGGGUAACGGCCCACCAAACCGACGAUGGAUAGGGGUUCUGAGAGGAAGGUCCCCCACAUUGGUACUGAGACACGGACCAAACUCAUACGGGAGGCAGCAGUGAGGAAUAUUGGUCAAUGGCCGAGAGGCUGAACCAGCCAAGUCGCGUGAAGGAAGAAGGAUUAUGGUUUGUAAACUUCUUUUAUAGGGGAAUAAGUGGAGGACGUGUCCUUUUUUGUAUGUACCCUAUGAAUAAGCAUCGGCUAACUCCGUGCCAGCAGCCGCGGUAAUACGGAGGAUGCGAGCGUUAUCCGGAUUUAUUGGGUUUAAAGGGUGCGUAGGUGGUAUUUAAGUCAGCGGUGAAAGUUUGUGGCUCAACCAUAAAAUUGCCGUUGAA